RNAcentral lists this ribosomal RNA (215 nucleotides) under uncultured prokaryote. RNAcentral describes it as "partial 16S ribosomal RNA". It matches the Rfam family "Bacterial small subunit ribosomal RNA", at positions 524 to 738 of the family's 1533-position model. The record is from RNAcentral.
UACGGGGGGUGCGAGCGUUGUCCGGAAUCACUGGGCGUAAAGGGCGCGUAGGUGGUUUGAUAAGGGUGUGGUGAAAGCCCGGGGCUCAACCCCGGGUCUGCCGUGCCGACUGUUGAACUCGAGGGCUGUAGAGGCAGACGGAAUUCCGGGUGUAGCGGUGGAAUGCGUAGAGAUCCGGAGGAAGACCAGUGGCGAAGGCGGGUCUCUGGACAGUU